RNAcentral lists this unclassified non-coding RNA (22 nucleotides) under Dictyostelium discoideum. Lineage: Eukaryota; Evosea; Eumycetozoa; Dictyosteliales; Dictyosteliaceae. The record is from RNAcentral.
ACCUCGAUUGGAGUCAAUGGAA